UUGGAUAAUAAUGAAAUGGUGGCAUCUGUUAAGUUCACAGUCUAUACAACAACUGAAUUGCAGAUGAAAAGAUCCACCAGACCAGACACUGAUGCCGUCUUAGUCUUCGUGCUGACCAUAGGAGUCAUCAUCUGCAUAUUUGUGAUCUUUGUAUUGAUUUUCAUAAUCAUAAAUUGGGCGGCAGUGAAAUCCUUCUGGGGGGCAAAAGCCUCAACAACUGAGAUACAGUCCGAGAUGAGCUCUAUGAGGUACAAAGAUUCGACAUCACUUGACCAGUCACCAACAGAUAUACCUGUACAUGAAGACGAUGCUUUAAGUGAAUGGAAUGAAUGAUGUAUGGAUGACAUAUGAGAAACUAGAGACCAUUAGAACAUAUCAGAUUCAUUAUUAUGAAAAUAAAAUAUAUACUGAAAA
Molecule: long non-coding RNA, 414 nt
Filed under: Rattus norvegicus (Norway rat)
Lineage: Eukaryota; Metazoa; Chordata; Mammalia; Rodentia; Muridae
Description: long non-coding RNA NONRATT023129
Source: RNAcentral